Molecule: ribosomal RNA, 724 nt
Filed under: uncultured bacterium
Lineage: Bacteria
Description: bacterial SSU rRNA
Rfam family: Bacterial small subunit ribosomal RNA
Source: RNAcentral
UAACACAUGCAAGUCGAACGCAACCUUCGGGUUGAGUGGCGGACGGGUGAGUAACGCGUGAGAAUCUGCCUUGGGGUCGGGGACAACCACUGGAAACGGUGGCUAAUACCGGAUACGCCUUCGGGUAAAAGAUUUAUUGCCCUAAGAGGAGCUCGCGUCUGAUUAGCUAGUUGGUGAGGUAAGAGCUCACCAAGGCAGCGAUCAGUAGCUGGUCUGAGAGGACGAUCAGCCACACUGGGACUGAGACACGGCCCAGACUCCUACGGGAGGCAGCAGUGGGGAAUUUUCCGCAAUGGGCGAAAGCCUGACGGAGCAAGACCGCGUGAGGGAGGAAGGCUCUUGGGUUGUAAACCUCUUUUCUCAGGGAAGAAGCUCUGACGGUACCUGAGGAAUCAGCCUCGGCUAACUCCGUGCCAGCAGCCGCGGUAAUACGGAGGAGGCAAGCGUUAUCCGGAAUUAUUGGGCGUAAAGCGUCCGCAGGUGGCAAUUCAAGUCUGCUGUCAAAGCACGGGGCUUAACUCCGUAAAGGCAGUGGAAACUGAAUAGCUAGAGUGCCGUAGGGGUAGAGGGAAUUCCCGGUGUAGCGGUGAAAUGCGUAGAGAUCGGGAAGAACAUCGGUGGCGAAAGCGCUCUACUGGACGGCAACUGACACUCAGGGACGAAAGCUAGGGGAGCGAAUGGGAUUAGAUACCCCAGUAGUCCUAGCUGUAAACGAUGGAUACUA